UCAACUCAAAUUUGUAUGGAUUUGGAACAGCUUGCCUUCGUCUGCGCUAGGAGUGUUGUUCCAACUCCAUACAAAUUUGAGUUG
Bombyx mori (domestic silkworm) is the source of this 84-nucleotide non-coding RNA. The record is from Rfam. NCBI's taxonomy places the organism in Eukaryota, Metazoa, Arthropoda, Insecta, Lepidoptera, Bombycidae.